CGUUCUGUAAGCCUGCGAAGGUGACCUGUGAGGGUUGCUGGAGGUAUCAGAAGUGCGAAUGCUGACAUAAGUAACGAUAAAGCGGGUGAAAAGCCCGCUCGCCGGAAGACCAAGGGUUCCUGUCCAACGUUAAUCGGGGCAGGGUGAGUCGACCCCUAAGGCGAGGCCGAAAGGCGUAGUCGAUGGGAAACAGGUUAAUAUUCCUGUACUUGGUGUUACUGCGAAGGGGGGACGGAGAAGGCUAUGUUAGCCGGGCGACGGUUGUCCCGGUUUAAGCAUGUAGGCUGGUUAUCCAGGCAAAUCCGGAUAAUCAAGGCUGAGGUGUGAUGACGAGGCACUACGGUGCUGAAGUAACAAAUGCCCUGCUUCCAGGAAAAGCCUCUAAGCAUCAGGUAACAUCAAAUCGUACCCCAAACCGACACAGGUGGUCAGGUAGAGAAUACCAAGGCGCUUGAGAGAACUCGGGUGAAGGAACUAGGCAAAAUGGUGCCGUAACUUCGGGAGAAGG
RNAcentral lists this ribosomal RNA (508 nucleotides) under Klebsiella quasipneumoniae subsp. similipneumoniae. RNAcentral's name for it is "partial 23S ribosomal RNA". It matches the Rfam family "Bacterial large subunit ribosomal RNA", at positions 1237 to 1746 of the family's 2925-position model. RNAcentral also lists the same sequence under 1 other name. Lineage: Bacteria; Pseudomonadati; Pseudomonadota; Gammaproteobacteria; Enterobacterales; Enterobacteriaceae. The record is from RNAcentral.